GAUGAACGCUGGCGGCGUGCCUAAUACAUGCAAGUCGAGCGAACAGAUGAGGAGCUUGCUCCUCUGACGUUAGCGGCGGACGGGUGAGUAACACGUGGAUAACCUACCUAUAAGACUGGGAUAACUUCGGGAAACCGGAGCUAAUACCGGAUAAUAUAUUGAACCGCAUGGUUCAAUAGUGAAAGACGGUUUUGCUGUCACUUAUGGAUGGAUCCGCGCCGCAUUAGCUAGUUGGUAAGGUAACGGCUUACCAAGGCAACGAUGCGUAGCCGACCUGAGAGGGUGAUCGGCCACACUGGAACUGAGACACGGUCCAGACUCCUACGGGAGGCAGCAGUAGGGAAUCUUCCGCAAUGGGCGAAAGCCUGACGGAGCAACGCCGCGUGAGUGAUGAAGGUCUUCGGAUCGUAAAACUCUGUUAUUAGGGAAGAACAAAUGUGUAAGUAACUAUGCACGUCUUGACGGUACCUAAUCAGAAAGCCACGGCUAACUACGUGC
Molecule: ribosomal RNA, 498 nt
Filed under: uncultured bacterium
Lineage: Bacteria
Description: partial 16S ribosomal RNA
Rfam family: Bacterial small subunit ribosomal RNA
Source: RNAcentral